Long non-coding RNA from Aethalodelphis obliquidens (Pacific white-sided dolphin), 1187 nucleotides. RefSeq lists it as uncharacterized. NCBI's taxonomy places the organism in Eukaryota, Metazoa, Chordata, Mammalia, Artiodactyla, Delphinidae. The record is from RefSeq and is a predicted model, not a curated record. The transcript is spliced from 3 exons.
CUUUUUGGAUGCCUUUGAAAGAUUGCUCUUAACUGGAAAGGCAGAAACCCUCUUUUUUUUUUUUAAACAAAGAUACUCAACUUAUUUUUUCAAAAAAGAAAUGCCCUAGACGGGUUUGUUUUUUUUUAAAAAGGCCGUUUCUGAGACUUUUCAAACCAAAUUGCUUCCCUGACAUUGCAUACUUACCUAAUGGUGGUUCUUCCCUUCAAAUUUCAACCAAAAGAGCAAUAAUGAGCUUCGUGAGGACAAUGGCUAAACCUGACUGGAGGCUCCUGGGGCCCUAAUUCACAACCAAGGAGAGGCAACAGUCACGAUUCAAUAAGGGUGCUAGUACAAGGCACACGCCAGACAGAAAGGAGACAUCUUAUCUGUAUAAUCUACAGACGCUGCUUGAAAAAUCACACAUAAUUAAGCCCUUCUCACAGUGGAAGCUACUUGAAGCUUUAUCACCAGCUUGUAAGAUGUCAUCUCUGGGCUUCACUGAUGGCUCUGAGUGAACAUUUCCAAACCAGAGGCAUCUGACAAUCCGGGUGACGUGUUUACCAUGCCUACCUUAGUCAUCUAACUAAGAAGCUCUGCACUACAUAACUGAAGGAAAGCAGAAUGGCGGGGAUGGCCCUGCGGUGGCUUCCCACACUGGGUGUUCUGUUACAUUAAUCCUGGUGCAAGAAAUAAGACGUGACAGUCAUAUGCAUAUCUAUAUGCCACGCUUGCCUGUCCUCAACUGGCCCUCCCUGUACACAGGCACGCAUUUCCCUUGAGCAACAUCAGAUGAGAAAGCAAUCGCUUUUCCAUUGCAGGGGAAACAGAGAAACAGGAAACCCAGAGGCAACGACUUGCUUGGAGGCCUCCAAGAUGAGAAAAUGGAAGAAGCAAGAAGAUAAGUGACUUACCCAAGCUUCCACAAUUUGUAAGUGACAAAGCUGGGAUUCAAACCUAGGCUGUCUGGUUUCAGAGCUCACACUCUUACCCACCCUGGGAUGUUGACAGGGAAUUUGCAGAGUAAAAGGGGCAGCAACCUUAACGAACAAGUCAAGUCAAUAAUUACAAACCAUGGGCAGGACUAUGAUUGAAAAGAACAGGAAACAAGGGUUAAGAAUAAUAGAAACUGGCCUUCCCUGGUGGCACAGUGGUUAAGAAUCUGCCUGCCAAUGCAGGGGACACCGGUUCAAGCCCUGGUCCAGGAA